GUGGUGGUUAUACGCGCACGAGUCUUAUUCCACGCCUUUAACUGCAGAAGAUGAGGGCUCCAGGAACUCCAGCCAGCUCGAGUUCUCAAAUUAAAAUGCCCUAAAACUCCUGCCAUUCCGGAAUUCGCACGGUCGAAUAAAUGCAUUUGGUUGGAUACAUAGAGUCAUUCUUCUUCUUCUGGAUACAUUCUCUUCUUCUUCUUCUUCUUCUUCUUCUGGAGCCGUAGAGCCGUAGAGUCAUUCCAAAAUAGGGCAUCAUGGAUUUGAAACGACUCGAUAAUAGAUUGAUAUGCGGAGACGUGGGAUUUUGCAAAACUGAAGUUGGUCUUCAUGUCAUAUUCUGUGUGGUCUAGCAUCCAGAGGUCAAGGUUGGAUUUCAAAUUAGGUUUCAGGUUAUGAUAAGAAGGCAAUGAGCUGAGUUUCAUGUGAAUAUUCCAGCCCUCGCAAGCUUGAUGCUAUGCCUAUGGGAAUUUCUUGAUUUUCAAGUGCAUACCUACACCUAAAGUUUCUUUAACUGGCUUAUGUUACAAGAAGAUGUGUGCAGUUCGAAAAGUUCAGCCAACCAACUGCAUAAAGCAGUGACAGCAAUUAAUGCUCAGUUCUUUUAAAGGUGGAAAUACUGAGAACUAUAGCCUCUCUGGCAGCUAGAAAAUUGAUACACAGAAUUUUGAUUAGCAUUUUAUUACAUGUUUAUAAGCUUUACUGACUAUUUCCCAUCAUGUUACACUGGAAGAGCAAGCUUAGGAGAUUCGAUCUAGGAGAGAAUAGUUGACCAUUACUUUCACAUUGAUUGUAUGUGGGACUUAACUAUAGAACACAAGAUUUGAGGCAUCUAUAGUAAUCUAGAGAAGAAAGUUGAAUUUGAAUCAAUUUGAUACAUGAUUAAUGCUGUUGGCUUGAAUAGUGGUCUGCUAAAGUUACCAUACUUUUGUUGCAUACAGCUUUGUGGAUACACAAAUUAUAUUUACUAAUGGAGGUCUUGAUGCUAGGAAAAACUUGGAACCAAGUUUGUACUAAUGUGGUUUUUAAGCCUUUUUAUUCUUGUACAAGUAAUCUAUCUGCUCUUCCAAUAGCAAAUUGUUUAACAGUAACAUUUGAGCAAUGGAAUCCCUCUAACAUUUGGUUUUACACUUGUGAGCUCUUCUUUGUUCUUCCAUUUCCUCCUUAACUUGUCUUCUGUUAUUGUAGAUUUCUUUUCUUAUAACCUAUUUGGGGCAAAGUCAGCAAUCUGAAAGCAACUCAAGCUUUCUCACUUUAUCUUUGAGCUUCAGUAUAUCUUAAAUGGAACUACUUUAGUACAUCACGACCAGAGAAAUCUACCUUGAAAUUUUUCAUCACAUGCGGAUCCAGAAAAAAUUCUUUUGAUUGCUAUACCACCCUUGUAAAACAAUAGAUAGGAAAGUCAUCAUCACAAACUAAGGCUGAUUUUUGUACAUUAAGUCUAUUUAGGGGAUGGCAGCUGAGGCUUAAUUGUGGGACGGAGGGGAGAUUUGGUGGAGGAAUGGUUUGUACUUCGCUAUUGGGGCAUGAUAGGAGAGGAGGAGGUCAAAUAUUUGCAGUAACAAGUUGGUUGAGGAAACUCUAAAUAGGGAGAUGGACAGAGCUGCUGGAUAAGUAUGCUUCUUUUAAGUGGAAAAAAUUUCAUAUUGCACGCAUUAAUUCUUGAUGCAUGAAAACCUAAAAUUUUAGUUCUAGUUAACCAAGUUAUUAUAGUGAAUUUGCAUCUUAUCUAUUGUCAGGACAUGUUAACUCGCAUUUUUAUUCCUAUUGCAUGUUUUGGACACUGGAUUUUUCUGUUUUUGCUUGGAUUAAUGAAUUAAAUAUUAAAGUAUAUCUGUUGCAGCUGGUCAGAGGAAGCAAAAUGAGUCAAUUUCCAGGUUCAGAGUUUGAGAAAUUUCAUUUUCUGUGACAUUUCAUUGAAUUAUAAUUUAAAAGUUCUCUUGAACUUAAUAAAAUUUUGGAGGGUCGGGAGAUUUCGCUUAUGGGUAAAUUUAGUAGUUGACCAAGAGAACCCGUUCUGUCUCCUUUCGAUUGGGAAUAACUUGGUUUUCAUAUUAGGACCUUGUAACUCACAAAAAUCUGUCCUACUGAUAAAUCUUGAAGGCUGGUAUUAUUAGAAACUCUGGUACAAACAUAAAUUCUUUUUAUCCUUUGAUUUUUGGCAAAGACAGACAUAGGUAACUUGCAUAAAGUAAAUUUUAUGAUUUUACAGUUAAUUAGUCCAUAGAAUAUAAAAAUUACUCUUUCCAUUUAGUUGUAAUGUUGUCACAAGAAGCGGGUUUUGUCCUUCACACUGAACUCUCUCUCUCUCUCCCCCUCUUAGUCUCUGUCCAUCUCUCUCUCUCUCUCUCUCUCACACACACACACACACUUUAUCUAUCUCUCUGUCUCUCUGUCUCUCUGGUGUAGGCUAAAAUAGAGUUGAUUGAAGUGUGAAAUGACAGAUAAACAUGGGUUUUACUUAGUUCUUGACAAGGAUGUCUUGAAGAUGAUUCAAAACAGUUAAUGCUAUAUAUCUUAAUAGUUCUUUAGUUUCUAAAUGCCUGUACAAAUUUGCAUGCAUAAUUUUAUGACUUGGACAUUCUUUGUGCUUUGCUUUGAAUCCUUGACCAAUAAGACAGGAACAAAUUUUUAUCUUCAUAAUGUGUGAGGACAGUUUAAUCUUCAUCUUGAAUCCUAAUGCGUUCAUGAGAUGUUUUGUUGGAACUUGUAUUAUUUGGGACUACAGUAGGAGAUUAACUUGAUAAAAUAAUAGGAAGGUGGAAAAACGAUUCAAUUCCUACAAAAAGCAGAGUGGAACUGGGAAAGUGAAAUAGUAGUAUGAUGCUAGAAACACUUGAGAUUGGUAGUAAACACUUUCUUCUGGCUUCAAAGUUUGUUCUUCAUGUCAAAGGUGCUUUUGGCCCUCUAGCCUCGGCAAGAACAAGGGACAGGAUAUUAACAGCAGUAACAUGUCCAUUUCUGGAUCUGAAGUAAAUCCCUUCGUCGAAAAUCGAGUGAGGAGUCUGACUGUGCCUCUAAAACUCCAGUUAGUUUUAAAGUAAUAAAGGUAUCAAAGGGGGAAUUUACAGAUAAGGCAGAUUGUGGGAAGGGGCUCUAGAUCUUGGUUAGGGAUGGGCUUGGGGACGGAGAGGAGAGGUGUAUGGUUGUAAUCAGCUGGUCUUUUGGCGACUCUUUAGAUUCUCAAAAUGGAAGGGUGUUCAAUGUAAUGGAUAAGUAAUUGACUGGGGACUGAAUAAAUUGAAUGCUUUAUUCUUUAGAACAAUUCAUCCAAUCAUUUAAUCUUCUUAGUUUGUCGAUACCAACUACCAUAAUUGACAACAAUAAGAAUUAGUGCCAAUAUGUGUCUAAUGUAUUUAAGACAUUUAAUUGCAUUUUAGCUGAUACGUUACUGAAGAUCAAUACUUGUUGGAAAGGUGGUGUUGCUUAAGUUGAUAGCUGUAACUUGAUGCGACUUGCCACAAAGACAUGGUACUUGAUUUGGUUUAGUUUAUAUUGCCUAGAUGAUAUCUUGUUGUCAAGUGCAUCAUGCAGGAAAGUAGUAAAGUAUGUAUGGCAUCACUGUCUUUUCUAAGUCGUAAUGAAGAUCUAAAAAUUCAAAAAAUUCAGGCCUGAACUAGUUUAGAUUGAUAAAGUGAAAUGUCUUUGUGCAGUAAUUUGUAGGCUGAGAUUUUAUUAGCAUUGAGUCAAAUUUGGCAAGACCUACAACAGUGAAAUGUCUUUGUGCAGUAAUUUGUAGGCUGAGAUUUUAUUAGCAUUGAGUCAAAUUUGGCAAGACCUACAACAUUUUUAAUCACUAUUGAAAGGCCAGUGUGCUAAUUGAAAAACAAAGAGAACUGCAAUAAAGUUGAAUGAAAUUACUGAACUUUCAAAGGCUGAAUACUAACAAACCUGUGAAGCUCAGUGCAUAACCAAUCAUCAGUCCACCGAUAAUGGUCAGAAGUAGGCAUUCAGCUGUUGGUGCUACAUUCUGUUCAUCUCCAUGGUCAUCUUCCUGAGACUUCAUUAUACAAAUAAUUAGCCAAUACAGAUUGAUUUUGGUCUUGGUAAAUUCAAACUGAUUGGAAAAGUGAAAGUUCGUAUGCAAGAUUUAGUUUUUGUACCUGUCUGCUAGGGGGGCUGGAAGAAAGGACCUGAGAGGUAUCACUCUGAGCCCGCCCUAUUUCACCUUCCUGGUUUGUAAAAUAUGAUACUAGUUAAGCAUUUUGACUGGAGUGAGACGGAUUAAUUGUAUUUGGUCGCCCCAUUUAUAUCAUUUUACACGUUACAUUCCAAUUUUAGUAGACAUAUUAAAUCCAAAUAUGAGAUAGAAAUAACCAUCUCCAAUAUAAUAAAAUACAAUUGCAAAUGCAAGGACAAAAAAAAAAUUACAAUCCAACAUUUGAUGGCUUCUUUGGAUUAAUGGAGAAAAAAUUUCCAAAAAUGCUAAAUUCUAAAUCAACUAAAGGGUGUCUUUGGGUCCAUGGGAUUGGAAUUGGAGGCCCUAAUUCGAAAUCUCCUGUUUGGGUAUUGAAUUCUUUAGCUGAAAAUUGGUGCUUUUAUCUUAACUCUCUUCAAGACUUAAACUUUGGGAUGAUUAGAUAGCUUUAGUAAUAAAUUAUGUGCUGAAUCUCUAUUGAAACUGUAACUUCACAAUUUGGGAUUGGAUGGGCAAACUGGAGUUUAGGCUCAGGGAUUUUUUUUUCCAAUUAUUUUUUGGAUUUAUCUAUGCAUUUAUGUCUUAAUUAUUUUUCUGUUAGAAUUUGCUAUUGGCCAUGGCAUGGUCUUGUGGACGUGUCAUAGGAAUUAUGCCCUUCUUGGACAGUGUUUAGUAAAGUUUAUCCUAAAAGGAUUACCUAUUAUUUGUGAGUCGAUCGGGAACCAAGUUGCAACCAUUGUGUGACUAGAAGCGGACUCUUUUUUUCUGAAAAUGUUUAGCUUUCUAAUAGGUAAAAUAAGUUGAAACUUUCUGGAGAUAGUUAUCAGUUAGGUUAUUUGGUUGUGCGGACAUGAAUCUCUAACAUUUUGCCAAAUGCAGACCAUUUCUAAGGCUCUGGCCAGAGCAACCAAGCAUUUGACAAGAUAACUGCUUAGAUAAAGCUGUCAAUUUUUGAGGAAAAGAUCAAACUUUUCUUACUUCACCUCAUUUAAUUUGGUUAUCAUUAUUGUAACUUGUGCACGUUCAAUUGUUUUCAAUACUCGUCUUUACCAUAUUGUUUGCUCCAUACUGCUCCUCUUUAUUCAAUAAAGGGGAUUUAAUAGGAAACUUUAAUGUAGUAGUUUAUGAGGUAUUCUAUGCAUGUUGCUAUGCCUUAAAAUUUUUAUCUGUCAAUAAGUCAUGGUUAUGCCACGGUUGGCUGGAUGUGUCUAGUCACGAUGAGCUCUACCUUAAUGUUGAAAUUGUGGUUGUGCAGAUUUUGUCAUCACAUGUUUCCCUUCAACUGAUGAGUGGUUAGAACUGAGUAAUCUUAACUGGGAACAAUAGCAGGUCCACAGUUCAUGCUCUUUACAGCUUUUUCUUAGUCUGCAGCUACAGGUGUAUGGUCUGGAGUCUCUAGGUUGUCACUCAGGUGUUAGAUCUUGAGAUCUGGAUUUCAAAUAUUAUUGUAUUCAGGAGUUUGCUCCUAUGUAAAAUCUGAAGACUGUAUAGUUGUAGCAGUAGGAUUUUUCACAUAAAAGUUGAAGCCAACCGCCUGUUGGUAUUUUUAGACGUGAUUGGUCGGUGUGAUUUAGUUUCAAGGUUAUAGGGAGCAUUGUGUAUCUGAUGGUUUUUCUUUCUUUUUUAUGUUUCUUUUGGCAAGGUAUCUGGGGCAGAGUGAGGUAUAAAAGUGGAUGAAAAUCUAUAUUUAACCCAAAAGAUGAAAGUAUAUGCUUCUAAAUCUUACCUUUCUGUGACCAGAUUAUCUCAACCUUGUAUAGUCUAACAGACUGAAAAGACAUGAUGUCAAAUCGAAUUUGGUGAGCUGUAAAUCUGAUGAAUCAUGUGAAUUUGCAGGACCUCGAAAUCCCAGGGGUUACAGUGUUAACUAGAGGGGAUAAACUUGUAGAGAAGUGUUAGUUGACUGAGCUCAAGAAUAUGCCAUUUUUGGUUGGAAUUGCAGAGCAUUGAGAAAGAUGAAAAUUUUGAGCAGUGGAUAGAGAGAAUCAAGAAAAACUAACAAAAAAUGUGAUUAGAACGUUGAGCAAUUUCAGUUUGUUCACUUUACGUUUUCAUUGUCAGGGAGAUCCUUGAAAAUGAUGGCAGUAUAAUUGCCGGAAAGUAGCCACCCAUGACAUGGAUGAUGGUUCGCUGUUAUUGAAGCAGGCUGCUUUUACUUCUCUCCCAAAGGACAGAGGCCUCUAAUGCUCAAUCUUUGUAUGACGUUUAUUUGUCAAGAGGAAGUUGGCGAUCUUUGAUGGCGGUAACAAUGAAUUGUAGAGGAGGAUUAAUAAGGGACCCUUCAGUGGAUUUUGAAGAAUUUAUUCAAAGAGUUGAUGCCUGCACCAAGAAGUCAACAAUGAAAUGAGGCUACAAAGACAGGAGUUUCCAACUAAUUGUUCCCUAGAUAUGAUUAGUUGGGGUCCAGAUAUUACUAGUUGAGGAUAGAGCCCUGAUAAUAUUCAUCACCAAUCCCAAAAUUGUCAUAUAAUGCUUACAGACAGGAUGUGGUUUAGAGUGAAUGCACCUUGUUUUUAUGUUCGUACAUUGCUGUACUUUUAUUCUGUACAUUUCGACCGUGGAGUUCUUCCAAGAUUGGAAUCUAUUAUCUGAUGCUUCUUAGACUAAUAGAAUACUUUUGUGUGUGUGUGUGUGUCAAAA
This is a long non-coding RNA of Coffea arabica (coffee), 6778 nucleotides long. RefSeq lists it as uncharacterized. Lineage: Eukaryota; Viridiplantae; Streptophyta; Magnoliopsida; Gentianales; Rubiaceae. The record is from RefSeq and is a predicted model, not a curated record.